Molecule: ribosomal RNA, 497 nt
Filed under: uncultured bacterium
Lineage: Bacteria
Description: partial 16S ribosomal RNA
Rfam family: Bacterial small subunit ribosomal RNA
Source: RNAcentral
GAUGAACGCUGGCGGCGUGCCUAAUACAUGCAAGUCGAGCGAACAGACGAGGAUCUUGCUCCUCUGACGUUAGCGGCGGACGGGUGAGUAACACGUGGAUAACCUACCUAUAAGACUGGUAUAACUUCGGGAAACCGGAGCUAAUACCGGAUAAUAUAUUGAACCGCAUGGUUCAAUAGUGAAAGACGGUUUUGCUGUCACUUAUAGAUGGAUCUGGGCCGCAUUAGCUAGUUGGUAAGUUAACGGGUUACCAAGGCAACGAUGCGUAGCCGACCUGAGAGAGGGAUAGGCCACACGGGAAGGGAGACACGGUCAAGACGCCUAAGGGAGGGAGCAGUAGGGAAUCGUCCGCAAUGGGCGAGAGCUUGACGGAGCAACGGCGCGUGAGUGAUGAAGGUCUUCGGAUCGUAAAACUCUGUUAUUAGGGAAGAACAAAUGUGUAAGUAACUAUGCACGUCUUGACGGUAACUAAUCAGAAAGCAACGGCUAACUACGUG